Molecule: long non-coding RNA, 463 nt
Filed under: Piliocolobus tephrosceles (Ugandan red Colobus)
Lineage: Eukaryota; Metazoa; Chordata; Mammalia; Primates; Cercopithecidae
Description: lncRNA (ENSPTEG00000021748.1)
Source: RNAcentral
CUUUUAACGAAAAAUUCAUGGUUCAUAUCAUAGUUCAUCCAUCUUUUCGCUUGCUCUUUCACACCCAGAAAGUUCUCCUUGUGUACUGCUUUGUUCUGAAUUCAUCACUUGGACCAAUAAGUUUUGGAAGCACACAGUAAGAACAAGAACAGACAAUCCCAAAAGGUACUGAAAGUUAAGAACAUUGCUUAGAGGAAAAGAUGGUAUGACUUCAUACUCAGUGCCUCAUUAUCCCAUACUGCAGUUUGGCUUUGAACCACCAAUCCCAGAAGACACUAUCGUAGUCACAAAGAAAGCUUUCAGCUCUGGAUUAUCAAUGUCAGAUGCAAUAGAAGAAUUGUACCUAAGAAAUUUGAAAGUUGACAAAUAUAUUAAUAUGUAAAGGAAAUAACGGAAUUAGGAUAUAUAAACCAGUAAUUGUGGUCAAAAUAAAAGUGCAUCAUCAGAGGAAAAGAAGACGUGA